UGUGUCACCUGAUGAAUGGAUAAACAAAACAGAGUGUCUGUAGUAGAAUAUUACUCGUCCAUACAAAGGAAUCAAUUUCUGAUCCAUAGGACAACCUGGAUGAGACCUGAAAACAUGCUAAGUGAAAGAAACCAUACUUAAAUGACCACAUAUUAUGAGAUUUCAUUUUUAUAUGAAAAGUCCAGAAUAGGUAGAAUAGAGACAGACAAUAGGCAAGAGCUUGCAGGGGCUGGGGGAAAGGAGGAGCGGAGGGUUUCUUUCUGGGGCAAUAAAAUGUUCCGGAAUGAGACAGCUGGUGAUGAAUGCUCAACUUCGUGACUACACUAAAAGUCACUAAAUUGUUUACUUUCAAGGGGUCCUUUUUAGUGUGAGACCCUCCUACAGCAUAUGAAACAUACCUCAAUAUGUUUUUAAAGCAUAAACAAGAGACAAAAACCUAUAGGGGACAGGUGAGGACACACCAAUGAAUUAUCACCUUUACCGCUGAACGUAUGGAGGGGGUUCGCAGUCAGGGACAUUUUUUUCCCAAGGGACUGCCUUGUUUCAGAACGGUUGCUAAGUGACUCUGGUUGGACUUGCUAAGUCUUGCUAGUGACUUUAUACUUUUGUCCUUGAAAGAAUGAAAGAAAGAAGUGUUCUCUCUCAGUUUAAAAGCCAUUCCCCUAUCACAGCAGCCCUGCAACACAGCAUCUUCCUCCGAGUCUCUGACAGCCAGGACAAUGCCUUAUUUAUAAUAAAUCAACCCAAAAGAAUAGGCCUGUUGCCAAGACCUGGGGCUGCCCAGCAAACAGAAAGCAUCUUGGUUCUGAGCUCAGUGUGGUUGCACAUCGUCUCCAAGUCCAAGGUCACUCUGUCCUUUACCAGGGAGGCCGCCUGCCCCUGCGAAGGCUCUUGUGAUCCAAAAGAAAACUGAUGUCAUCCCCGACCCACAAUGAUGAUGGCAAAAACAGAAUUUUAGAAUCAAAGGAAACCUCAGAGGCCAUCACCUGAGCCAAAGGAUCUAAUGACAGGAUCAAGUUUAGAUUCCUUUGCUGGUCACCUGUGAUUGGUGGACUGGAUGCCCGGAGUAGAAAGCUGCACCUGCCACUAUGGCCUCUGCAGGAAUGAGACGGAAGGCAAGGGGGGUCAGCUUUCAGGGCCCUGCAGCUCAUGGUCAGGUUUUGGACUUUAUUCUCCUUGUCACGGUCAUCCAUCAGAAGGUUUUAUGCAGGGAAACGAGCCAGAAGAACCCAGGUGCUGGCUGUGGGCAACGCUUUUCAUUUUUUCCCCCCCGA
Long non-coding RNA from Herpailurus yagouaroundi (jaguarundi), 1274 nucleotides. RefSeq lists it as uncharacterized. Lineage: Eukaryota; Metazoa; Chordata; Mammalia; Carnivora; Felidae. The transcript is spliced from 3 exons. The record is from RefSeq and is a predicted model, not a curated record.